CUACGGGAGGCAGCAGUGAGGAAUAUUGCACAAUGGGGGGAACCCUGAUGCAGCAACGCCGCGUGGAGGAUGACGCAUUUCGGUGUGUAAACUCCUUUUAUAUGUCAAGAAAAUGACGGUAGCAUAUGAAUAAGCACCGGCUAACUCCGUGCCAGCAGCCGCGGUAAUACGGAGGGUGCAAGCGUUACUCGGAACCACUGGGCGUAAAGGACGCGUAGGCGGGUUGGAAAGUCAGGUGUGAAAUCCUACAGCUUAACUGUAGAACUGCACUUGAAACUUCUAAUCUAGAGUAUGGGAGGGGGAGAUGGAACUAGUGGUGUAGGGGUAAAAUCCGUAGAUAUCACUAGGAAUACCUAAAGCGAAGGCGAUCUCCUGGAACAUUACUGACGCUAAGGCGUGAAAGCGUGGGGAGCAAACAGGAUUAGAUACCCGGGUAGUC
RNAcentral lists this ribosomal RNA (439 nucleotides) under uncultured bacterium. Its description in RNAcentral is "partial 16S ribosomal RNA". It matches the Rfam family "Bacterial small subunit ribosomal RNA", at positions 339 to 795 of the family's 1533-position model. The record is from RNAcentral.